This 200-nucleotide ribosomal RNA is filed under the name uncultured bacterium. RNAcentral's name for it is "partial 16S ribosomal RNA". It matches the Rfam family "Bacterial small subunit ribosomal RNA", at positions 8 to 205 of the family's 1533-position model. The record is from RNAcentral.
AGAGUUUGAUCAUGGCUCAGAGCGAACGCUGGCGGCGUGCUUAACACAUGCAAGUCGAGUGCGCGUCUGUAGCAAUACAGAUGGCGCACGGCGCACGGGUGCGUAACACGUGGGUAAUCUGCCCUUCGAAGGGGAAUAACUCGCCGAAAGGCGAGCUAAUUCCGCAUAACAUUCCAAGAGCUUCGGUUUUUGGACUCAAA